AGAGUUUGAUCCUGGCUCAGAAUCAACGCUGGCGGCGUGCCUAACACAUGCAAGUCGAGCGAGAAAGUAGACUUCGGUCUGCGAGUACAGCGGCGCACGGGUGAGUGACACGUGGGUAAUCUGCCUCGGAGUGGGGAAUAACAUCGGGAAACCGGUGCUAAUACCGCAUACGAUUACAGGGUCUUCGGACCUUGUAAUGAAAGGAUUUAUUCGCUCUGAGAGGAGCCCGCGCCCGAUUAGCUAGAUGGUGAGGUAAUGGCUCACCAUGGCCACGAUCGGUAGCCGGUCUGAGAGGACGGUCGGCCACACUGGAACUGAGACACGGUCCAGACUCCUACGGGAGGCAGCAGUGGGGAAUUAUUGACAAUGGGGGAAACCCUGAUCAUGCAACGCCGCGUGGAUGAUGAAGUAUUUCGGUACGUAAAAUCCUUUCGACAGGGAAGAAGGCCAGCCUUCGGGUUGGUUUGACGGUACCUGUAGAAGAAGCCCCGGCUAACUCCGUGCCAGCAGCCGCGGUAAUACGGGGGGGGCAAGCGUUGUUCGGAUUUACUGGGCGUAAAGGGCGCGUAGGCGGUUUGUUAAGUCGGAUGUGAAAACUGUGGGCUCAACCCAUAGCCUGCAUCCGAUACUGGCAGACUAGAGUGCGAGAGGGGAAAGCGGAAUUCCUGGUGUAGCGGUGAAAUGCGUAGAUAUCAGGAGGAACACCGGCGGCGAAGGCGGCUUUCUGGAUCGCAACUGACGCUGAGGCGCGAAAGCUAGGGGAGCAAACAGGAUUAGAUACCCUGGUAGUCCUAGCCCUAAACGAUGGAUACUUGGUGUGGGGAGAGUUGAAUCUCUCCGUGCCGGAGCUAACGCGUUAAGUAUCCCGCCUGGGGAGUACGGUCGCAAGGCUGAAACUCAAAGGAAUUGACGGGGGCCCGCACAAGCGGUGGAGCAUGUGGUUUAAUUCGACGCAACGCGAAGAACCUUACCUGGGCUCGAACGGCUAGUGACAGCGGGUGAAAACUCGUUUUCCCUUCGGGGACACUAGCCGAGGUGCUGCAUGGCUGUCGACAGCUCGUGUCGUGAGAUGUUGGGUUAAGUCCCGCAACGAGCGCAACCCUUGCCUUUAGUUGCCAGCAUUUAGUUGGGCACUCUAGAGGGACUGCCGGUGAAAAACCGGAGGAAGGUGGGGAUGACGUCAAGUCCUCAUGGCCUUUAUGUCCAGGGCUACACACGUGCUACAAUGGGCGGUACAGAGGGUCGCAAACCCGCGAGGGGGAGCUAAUCCCAAAAAGCCGUCCUCAGUUCGGAUUGGAGUCUGCAACUCGACUCCAUGAAGUUGGAAUCGCUAGUAAUCGCGGAUCAGAAUGCCGCGGUGAAUACGUUCCCGGGCCUUGUACACACCGCCCGUCACAUCACGAAAGCCGUUUGUACUAGAAGCCGGUGAUUCAACCUUCGGGAGAAAGCCGUCUAAGGUAUGAGUGGUGAUUGGGGUGAAGUCGUAACAAGGUAACC
Molecule: ribosomal RNA, 1497 nt
Filed under: uncultured prokaryote
Description: partial 16S ribosomal RNA
Rfam family: Bacterial small subunit ribosomal RNA
Source: RNAcentral